CCUACGGGGGGCAGCAGUGGGGAAUAUUGCACAAUGGGCGAAAGCCUGAUGCAGCAACGCCGCGUGAAGGAAGAAGGGUUUCGGCUCGUAAACUUCUAUCAACAGGGACGAAAGAAAUGACGGUACCAGAAUAAGAAGCCCCGGCUAACUACGUGCCAGCAGCCGCGGUAAUACGGAGGGGGCAGGCGUUAUCCGGAAUUACUGGGUGUAAAGGGUGAGUAGGCGGCAUGGUAAGCCAGAUGUGAAAGCCUUGGGCUUAACCCGAGGAUUGCAUUUGGAACUAUCAAGCUAGAGUACAGGAGAGGAAAGCGGAAUUCCUAGUGUAGCGGUGAAAUGCGUAGAUAUUAGGAAGAACACCAGUGGCGAAGGCGGCUUGCUGGACUGAAACUGACGCAGAGGCACGAAAGCGUGGGGAGCGAACAGGAUUAGAUACCCUGGUAGUC
RNAcentral lists this ribosomal RNA (443 nucleotides) under uncultured bacterium. Its description in RNAcentral is "partial 16S ribosomal RNA". It matches the Rfam family "Bacterial small subunit ribosomal RNA", at positions 338 to 795 of the family's 1533-position model. The record is from RNAcentral.